GGACGAACGCUGGCGGCGUGCUUAACACAUGCAAGUCGAGCGGUAAGGCCCUUUCGGGGGGUACACGAGCGGCGAACGGGUGAGUAACACGUGGGUGACCUGUCCCUCUAGCUCUGGGAUAAGCCUGGGAAACUGGGUCUAAUACCGGAUAUGACCUCCAUGACGCAUGUUGUGGGGGUGGAAAGCCUUGUGCGGCUGAGGAUGGGGCCCGCGGCCUAUCAGCUUGUUGGUGGGGUGANGGCCUACCAAGGCGACGACGGGUAGCCGGCCUGAGAGGGCGACCGGCCACACUGGGACUGAGACACGGCCCAGACUCC
RNAcentral lists this ribosomal RNA (317 nucleotides) under uncultured bacterium. RNAcentral's name for it is "bacterial SSU rRNA". It matches the Rfam family "Bacterial small subunit ribosomal RNA", at positions 27 to 339 of the family's 1533-position model. The record is from RNAcentral.